GCCGGGCGCCGUGGCGCAUGCCUGUAAUCCCAGUGGCUCAGGAGGCUGAGACAGGAGGAUCACGAGUUCAAAGCCAGUUUCAAUAACUCAGUGAGACCCUGUCUCAA
RNAcentral lists this small RNA (107 nucleotides) under Marmota monax (woodchuck). Lineage: Eukaryota; Metazoa; Chordata; Mammalia; Rodentia; Sciuridae. The record is from RNAcentral.